This 939-nucleotide long non-coding RNA is filed under the name Polistes fuscatus (common paper wasp). RNAcentral's name for it is "uncharacterized LOC122524878". The record is from RNAcentral. Lineage: Eukaryota; Metazoa; Arthropoda; Insecta; Hymenoptera; Vespidae.
UACUCUGUAAUAAUAGGCACUCGCUCAAAUAUUUUCCUCGGUUAAAUAUUUGAUCUCGUUUUUAUUCCAUUUAUUAAAAGCCACGAGCGAAAGGCGCGGGGUCGUUGGGUGGUGGUGGUGGUGCUGCUGCUACUGCUCCUACUGCUCCUACUGCCUGCUGCUGAUGAAAAGAGGGUGUGUGUGUGUGUGAGAGAACACGGACCGCACGCUCGCGAAAUUCACAUCUACGAUGAUUUAACGAGCCUGCAAAUAGAAAGACGACGACGACGACGACGACGACGACGACGACGACGUCAGUCGGGUCGCGAAAACUUCCAAGGACCGAUUAGAUCUUUGCGUUUGUAUAUUUUCUCAUCGGUUCCACGUUCGCAGCGAUUCCUCCUAACAUCUUCUUUUUCAAUUUCAAUAAUCUCUGUAACUCGAAGGAAGAUUCGCUAGAUUCGUCAUUUUGUUCGUGUCAGUCAAUAAGCGACUUCUCCAAGACUCGCGUGUUUUCCUUUCGUGGUCGACGCCGAAGAACGUAUGUAUAUAUACCUACAUGUUCUGGGAAAUCUAUGGUAAAUAGAACCAAGAGUUCGAUCAAAUUCUUCCCACGUUUGAUAUGAUUUCGGUGUCGGUCUAGAAAAAUCGGUAAUGAAUGCGAUUGGAAAAGUAUCGAAGUACGUGAUACUUAACGAGAAAGACAGAUAGAGAGGCUGGAUGAGACGGAUAUUGAAAGAUCGAUCUUCUCUUCGGAUAAAUGACCUUGGCGUUUUAUCAAGAUUAGCAUCGAUAGCGAAUUCUUUAACGUUAGAGCUUCGAUGGUCAGAGUCAGUCAAUAUAUUCAGGGUGGCGAAGGAGAAAAGCGGAGGAGAGAAAAAGAGAAAGAUAGAAAGUCGCACUAGAACGAAGGGUGGAAUGAUCGUAAACGAGACCAAGUGGGAGAGUAGAAAAGUAGGA